Molecule: long non-coding RNA, 1889 nt
Organism: Tupaia belangeri chinensis (Chinese tree shrew)
Lineage: Eukaryota; Metazoa; Chordata; Mammalia; Scandentia; Tupaiidae
Exons: 3
Source: RefSeq, a predicted model, not a curated record
GGCGGGGGGACGGCGGGAGCAGGUGUUGACUCCCGGCUGGUGACAGCAGGGGCAGAAAGUCAGGACCCCGUCCUGCGUGUCCCGGAGCCCUCCCCUGUAAGCAGCCGAGGUGACAGCCGGCGUAACUGGGACGGAAUCAAGGGAGAAGACCGUUCCCCUGGUCAGUGUAAAGCUCAGUGGAUGGACUUCCAGAACCUGCAUGCCGGGUCCGCAGCGCCAGGAUUCUGCCAUAGGGGACGUGUGCUCUGCAGAGCGAAAGCCCUGGAGGAUAGCCACGCUGCAGUCUUACCCGCCGUUCUAACCUUGGGAUUCUGGGCACACAGGCAUGCGUGCUCAGCAUGGUUUUCAAGCUCACGGGUCAAGGCCUGGAACCAUCGUCAGCCACGUGGGAAUCCAGUGACUUAACCACAACGCCAUCUGCUGGUCCUGCAGCGUCUCCACUUUCCUGACUCCCUCGUGAAUUAGAGAAACCGCCUGACGCGAUUCACUUCUCACGCGCGAGAAUCCCGUGCUUUCGCUGUUGGGGACCUGCCCUCCGACCCUAGGACUAUCUCCAUCCACAUGGGGAGCGCUGAGGCGCUUGGCCGUCCCUGCACACGUGCACAGCCGAGCCUGCCUGGUCCCUCGCUGAGGCUGAGCCACUUUCUGGGAUGGGAGUCGGCCUAGAGGCAGGCUUUGUCGGACGUCCCAGACUGCCGAGUACAGUCCCGGUGGCAGGGCGAGCAGGGCUUGUAAACAGGUCGGGAUGAGGACUCCUUGAGGGCCUGGGGCAGGAAUGGGGGCUUUCCAGAGGUUUCUGUGAAACCGUCUUUGGUGGUGGUGCUGUCCUCGGGGCCGGGCAGCGUCUAGAAGGGCUGGAGCAAGACUGUAUGACAGGUCCGUUCUGGGAAGAGAACUCAGGCCACGGGGAUGUCUUUAGACCUCCCGUGCCACCUGUGACCGAGGCUGGCACAAGGCGGACGGUGAAGGCGGUGGCAGCGUGGUCCCGGCAGGCCCUAACGACGGUGUGCGGAGGGAACCGCCGGCCGGGAAGGGAAGGGUGUGUGAGCUCGUGCCCCACGUAAGUCGCCCAGGACUCCGGCGCGGGCGUUCACCUGGCAAACGUUUAAGACAGACAGAACUUACUUGUACAGGCGGACUCCAGCGAGAGGUUCUAGGAGCCAGAUCCCAAGGGGCUGACUGUGAGGAGAAUCCCGGCCCCUGCGGGGCUUCAAAACAUGCUGGGCUGCUGCGUUUACGUUCCCAAUCCCUGUGGGCUGGGGCAUGGGGGAGAAGGGACUGUGGCCUGAACACGUCUGCUUGGGGGGUGCCUUCUCUCCCUCUGUCUCUGUUUCUCUCUGGUGAGUCCACCCACCCUCUGCCAAUUAAGAAAUGAAAUAAAAUAAGGUUAUGUUCCCUUCUCAGCAGCUGCUGUCACCGGUACCGUAGCUGAUGUCGUUUUCGAGCUUCUUGGGCCAGUUUUUAACUCAGGAUGAUUGUGUCUCCCAGGGAGUAUUCAGCAAUGUGUGGAGAAUUGUGCUCUUUUUACAUUUAUCUAUUAGUCUAUUUAUUUGCUGCGAUUUUUCAAACUGCAAGGUCCUGGAUUUGAACCAGAGUCGACCAUGUGAGAGUCCAGCACCGUAAACACCAAGCCACUUGCUGGCCCCACGCCUUUAUUUAAUUAAGCAUCAGGAAACCUGGGCGCGGCGCCGUCUGGCUGCCCCGGUGUAGGUUCUCGUGAGCAAACGCCGAGAAACAGGUGAACCUGCGCUUGGGGCUCUGCUCCGCCCCCUCAGACCUCGGCGUUUUGUGGCGCAGCUCCUACCUCCGCUGGCCACAGGGGGGCGGUGUGGAGCUUUCCUGUGGGUUUUCAGGGACGUCUGGGUGAAGCUGCCCGCCCGCCGGAGCCU